CGAGCGGCGGACGGGUGAGUAAUGCUUGGGAACAUGCCUUGAGGUGGGGGACAACAGUUGGAAACGACUGCUAAUACCGCAUAAUGUCUACGGACCAAAGGGGGCUUCGGCUCUCGCCUUUAGAUUGGCCCAAGUGGGAUUAGCUAGUUGGUGAGGUAAUGGCUCACCAAGGCGACGAUCCCUAGCUGGUUUGAGAGGAUGAUCAGCCACACUGGGACUGAGACACGGCCCAGACUCCUACGGGAGGCAGCAGUGGGGAAUAUUGCACAAUGGGCGCAAGCCUGAUGCAGCCAUGCCGCGUGUGUGAAGAAGGCCUUCGGGUUGUAAAGCACUUUCAGUCAGGAGGAAAGGUUAACGGUUAAUACCCGUUAGCUGUGACGUUACUGACAGAAGAAGCACCGGCUAACUCCGUGCCAGCAGCCGCGGUAAUACGGAGGGUGCGAGCGUUAAUCGGAAUUACUGGGCGUAAAGCGUACGCAGGCGGUUUGUUAAGCGAGAUGUGAAAGCCCCGGGCUCAACCUGGGAACUGCAUUUCGAACUGGCAAACUAGAGUGUGAUAGAGGGUGGUAGAAUUUCAGGUGUAGCGGUGAAAUGCGUAGAGAUCUGAAGGAAUACCGAUGGCGAAGGCAGCCACCUGGGUCAACACUGACGCUCAUGUACGAAAGCGUGGGGAGCAAACGGGAUUAGAUACCCCGGUAGUCCACGCCGUAAACGAUGUCUACUAGAAGCUCGGAGCCUCGGUUCUGUUUUUCAAAGCUAACGCAUUAAGUAGACCGCCUGGGGAGUACGGCCGCAAGGUUAAAACUCAAAUGAAUUGACGGGGGCCCGCACAAGCGGUGGAGCAUGUGGUUUAUUUCGAUGCAACGCGAAGAACCCUUACCUACACUUGACAUACAGAGAACUUACCAGAGAUGGUUUUGGUGCCUUCGGGAACUCUGAUACAGUGCUGCAUGG
RNAcentral lists this ribosomal RNA (954 nucleotides) under Pseudoalteromonas arctica. RNAcentral's name for it is "bacterial SSU rRNA". It matches the Rfam family "Bacterial small subunit ribosomal RNA", at positions 92 to 1048 of the family's 1533-position model. Lineage: Bacteria; Pseudomonadati; Pseudomonadota; Gammaproteobacteria; Alteromonadales; Pseudoalteromonadaceae. The record is from RNAcentral.